ACCUACAGCCAUACCAGCCUGAAUGCACCCAAACCUUUCGGUCUCUGAAGUUAGGCAAGGUCUGGCCUCUGCAGUACAUACAACACAGGAACUUUGUGAA
This is a ribosomal RNA of Saimiri boliviensis boliviensis (Bolivian squirrel monkey), 100 nucleotides long. NCBI's taxonomy places the organism in Eukaryota, Metazoa, Chordata, Mammalia, Primates, Cebidae. The record is from Ensembl.